Molecule: ribosomal RNA, 446 nt
Filed under: uncultured bacterium
Lineage: Bacteria
Description: partial 16S ribosomal RNA
Rfam family: Bacterial small subunit ribosomal RNA
Source: RNAcentral
CCUACGGGCGGCAGCAGUCGAGAAUCAUUCACAAUGGGGGAAACCCUGAUGGUGCGACGCCGCGUGGGGGAAUGAAGGUCUUCGGAUUGUAAACCCCUGUCAUGUGGGAGCAAAUUAAAAAGAUAGUACCACAAGAGGAAGAGACGGCUAACUCUGUGCCAGCAGCCGCGGUAAUACAGAGGUCUCAAGCGUUGUUCGGAAUCACUGGGCGUAAAGCGUGCGUAGGCUGUUUCGUAAGUCGGGUGUGAAAGGCGCGGGCUCAACCCGCGGAAGGCACAUGAUACUGCGAGACUAGAGUAGUGGAGGGGGAACCGGAAUUCUCGGUGUAGCAGUGAAAUGCGUAGAUAUCGAGAGGAACACUCGUGGCGAAGGCGGGUUCCUGGACAUUAACUGACGCUGAGGCACGAAGGCCAGGGGAGCGAAAGGGAUUAGAUACCCUGGUAGUC